GAUCGUUGUGAAGUUGAGUUUUUGGGGUAGCAUAGAUUUAUAUCGUUGUAUUCCUUUUUGUUUGUGUUAACCAAUUGUCGUUCGGAAUUAUUUUUUAUACAUCAUUUAUUGAUCUUGCAAUUUCUUGUAAUUUAGUUUGCGUCUUAUUUCUUUGGUGUCAUAUUUUGGCUAUGUUUGUGUUCGAUCAUACAGUAUAAUAAGUCGGUAGUUGCCCGCGAAUGGAUUUUUUUUUAUUUCUUGUGACUCUUUGCGUCUUAUUUGUUGAUGCAGUUGGUUUUUGUUUUGUGUCAUGUGGAGAUAUGGUGUGAUUUUGUUUUUCUUUUGAUGUGUUUGCAUCUUAAAUUGGGAUUGCACUGAGUUAUUUCAUGAUUUCUUUUGUGCUAUAUUUUCGAUACAUUUUUAGUCUAUCUUAUAGCAUCUUACAAUUGUCCGACGACAUAAUGUGAUACUUUUUUUGUUCGCCAAUAUUAUUCAUACGAUUCAUACGAUUUGAAUUUACUAUUUAUAUCUUUUUUUCUUUUCUUAAUAGUUUACCUACAGUCGAAAAUUUGCAAGACAUUAAGAGUCUUUACUUAUUUAACAUUUAUUAGACUCAAUUAUUAUGUAUUUACUUGAAUAACCGUCCCACUGUUUAUUGUAUGUUAGUUCUUCACAAACACGAAACAGAUCAAGAAUAUCAAAGUUCCCUUAUAUAAUUUUUACCGUAUACGGUGGCUCACUCUAUUUUCUCAAAAUUUGAUUACAAUUCUACGAUCUGAAUUACUUUUUAUCUUUUUUCUUUUCUUAUAGUUUCCUACAGUCGAAAAUUUAGACAUUAUCUUUACUUAUUUUAUUUGUUGUUUGUUGUUUUUUUUGUUUUGUAUUUUAUUGUAAAUGUCGGCUGGUAUCAUUUCUGUAUAGGAAUUUACACCAAUAAAAUUAUUUGAUUUGAUUUGAUUUGAUUUGUACUAACAAUGCGUGUAUAUAUUACUCGAGUUUGAAACAUGCAACAAUACUCUACCAAAGCAAACCAGAAAACAAUCCAUCAACAAGGAAGAAAGUUAAUCAUAUAACUUCAAAGGGGGUAUGGUUUUCUUGUCUGAGCGCGAACCUUUCUUGUCCGCCUUCAUCAAUCAAUUUAUUUUUUCUUUAAAACUUAACACUAUACGGUUUUAGAAGAUCAAAAGUCAUAAUAUUUUUUUUGGUUUAAAAUUUUGCCUGACAACAAUAUUUUUUCAAAGAUUGGAUCAGACGAUAUCUUUUUUGAAUGAAUAUUACACCUCACUCUUUUUCACAAUUUGAAGUAAAAUUUUCGUUCCCGUAUGUAAAUAACCAGCACAAAGACUUUCAUUAUCUUUUUUUUUAUACAUUUGAAGACAUCGCACAGUUCAAACCAAUAUUCAGUGGCGGAUCCAGAAUUUCACAUUGGGGUAGGGGGAGCGGCGCUGACUGAACUAAGGGGAGCCCGCUCCAGUCAUGCUUCAGUGAUUCCCUAUGUUUAAUCAAACAUGUUUUUCCGAUCCUCUUUGUUCCAUGCCUCUGGUCGACAUGUGUACUUCAUAAUAAUUUUUGACUGUCAGAUGUAUAUAUAGCAGAACUUUCACAUGACUUCUUUCUUGAUAAAACCACUGUCUUUUUCCCUUUUCGACACUGCAAACAAAAAAUCGAACAGGCAAUUAAAGAGGGGGUUGCAACCACAUGUUCCCCGCACAAACGGAUCAGAACU
RNAcentral lists this long non-coding RNA (1705 nucleotides) under Mytilus galloprovincialis (Mediterranean mussel). The record is from RNAcentral. Lineage: Eukaryota; Metazoa; Mollusca; Bivalvia; Mytilida; Mytilidae.